Molecule: long non-coding RNA, 798 nt
Filed under: Triticum aestivum (bread wheat)
Lineage: Eukaryota; Viridiplantae; Streptophyta; Magnoliopsida; Poales; Poaceae
Description: long non-coding RNA (TAES_LNC015202)
Source: RNAcentral
AGAAAAACACUACACUGAACAAUACUUUUUGUUAGACCUCAAGUCCAGAACCGUCAUCAGGUGUCCCUUUCCUUGCUGCACCCACGACCUAACCAACCAUCUAAGGAAGCAACUUCUUUCUAUUAUUGGUCCCCACCACUGAAACAACAACCAAUGUUUUAGCAUGCCAAUUAUUUAUGAAGUCCCCGAAUUCUUGCUGAUUUGAUCCCAAACUCAGCUCCAGGUUCGGUGCGGUGCGCUGGUGUCGGCGUCAGGCGGCGUGCUGCUGUGUCGAUGCGUCUCCGUGCUCCUGUGUCGGUGCGUCUCCCUGGAUUCCAGGCGAACGACAGGGCAACAUGCGUUGCCUGGGCUUGGUUGGGCAGGCCCUAGUGGUGGUUGCGUGCUGCUUGCUGGGUGGGCUCAGAGCUACCUGGGCUGGACGUUAGUCAUUCUUUUUUUCCACUAAUCCGUAAUAUAUAAUAUAUAUACCGCAUAUAUACUAUGGGCCCCCUUUUAGUCUGGGCCCCGGGCCGUCGCACCUCUCGCACUGGUCCAAAGCCGGCCCUGUAUGAAGCAAAACCACAACAGCUUAAUCUCCCAAGAGCAGGAUCGUAACAUACUUUCAGAAAAGCGCAGUCCAGAUCAUACACUCAUGAAUAAGUGUUUUGGUUUUCAACUGCCACAAUGAUAUCCCCCCUACCGCAAGCCCCUGCCUAUAGCUUUAAACUGAACCAGCAAGUUAGCAUGUCAUUUAUUUACAAAGUAAUGCUUAGCAACCUAAUUCCCCAAAGGCAGGAGUCUAGAUAAUUUCAGGAUGUG